This is a long non-coding RNA of Oreochromis niloticus (Nile tilapia), 1568 nucleotides long. RefSeq lists it as uncharacterized. The record is from RefSeq and is a predicted model, not a curated record. The transcript has 3 exons. NCBI's taxonomy places the organism in Eukaryota, Metazoa, Chordata, Actinopteri, Cichliformes, Cichlidae.
UUUCUUUUUAGACUCUGAAAUAAGUCUGUUUGAUUCUUCGCUUUUGGAUAAUCUCGAUCAAAUCGACACCCGGUUAGCCAAUCGCACUCAGCUCGGAUUUUUAUGAUCUCCCGCAGAGGUUAAGACUUGCUUUGAUCUCUCACAAGCCAUCUGACUUCGGAAGCAUGGACAGCUGGCUCUCACUCAGGUUAAAUAAUUUAACAUUUAGGCCUAAAUUUAACUGUUUUUCUCUCUCAGAAAAACAAGUUUUCUCCUUUUUUCACAAACAACAUGGCCACCAGACCUACCAACCUCACUGUGUGUUACGGUUUGGAGGAGGACUCAAGCGCAGGACUCCGGUUCUGAUGCUCACAAGAAGGGUUUAUUUACAAUCCACCAGGUGUAUAUACAAGAAUGUGCGGGGGGGUGCUAUAUACAGCUGAGUGAGGGGAGAAGGGGUCUCCAAGGAAGUCCAGGGGAAAGCACGCGUUCUUCAGAAUAUCCACUCACACGAUCACAGGCUCACACUCCGACACUGCCACACGGGAAUCACACGGGGGGAAAAUCCAGGGAGCUCUGUAGACAGGGAGACAGGGUUAAGUACGACGCACACAGGAAAACACUCUAACUUGCUGUAGCUUGGCUUCACUAACGCGUGGUAGACAACGAUCCAGCGACGAACAGCAGUCACCUCCUGGCUUAAGUGCUGAUCACCUUAACGAGACCCAGGUGUCUCAUCUCCCGAGGGCGUGGGCCGAGGGCGUGAACCCACAGUGAGUUCCGCCCCGGCGAGAGAGAAGAGGAGAGAAGAAGAGAGAGAGUGCUGAUCAGCGUGCAGCUGAUCCGCCUGGCCGUGACACUGUGGUCUCUCAGACCCCCGUAACCAGCUACAGAGCCUCUGCCACGCCAGCGCAACUCAGACGAAUGCAUCUUUGCCGGGUCCAACCUGCAUCUGCUAUCCCUUUGGAGGAGAGAUUCAGGCUCAACACCGGUGGGUUUUGGGGCUAUGCUUUCAGCCUUAGAGAAAUCUAUUUCUACCAGCUAAAAGCGGGUUAAGGUUUUGGCCCGCUAACACCGCGGAUCGCCUUUACUUCGUCUGACUGGGGUGUUUUGAGCCUCAUCGCUACGCCUGAAGUGCAGAAGAGCCUGCGGGACGAGCUCGCAACAACCGUGAACCACGGAUCAACAACAACUCGCCUCACUUUCCCUAUGUGCAUAUCAAUCGACUCUGAUUUAAGCCAGAUGUGUUAACCUGAUCCCUGCGAAACACCAGCUCUGCGUGGAUUUUGACCGCGAGUGACCGGAUGUUGUUUCCGGCCUGAGGUUGCCUGAAAUGCCGUGAGGCUCGUUUGAAAGAUUGCGCCGGAGACCAACUCCGCCUCCAAGGCGUGCCUAUCUUUAGCUGCCACCAGUGAGAUAUCAGAGCCGGGCUCCACAUAUCCAAUCAGGACAACGAGCAAGACAGCUUUUGCAGACUCUCCAGAAAUAUACAAGUCCUUAUCAACUGCUCUGCAACCCAGUGUUUCUGGUCCCCUCACCAACAUCGCCUUUUUGAGAUAUUUUUUAUGAACCACCAAAAAGAGCCAUUU